AAAAAGUUAGUUAAACUAUAACCUAAACUUGUCAAGUUUAAAUCAUUAAAUAAAUAAUACUUUUUU
RNAcentral lists this transfer RNA (66 nucleotides) under Potamophylax cingulatus. RNAcentral describes it as "tRNA-Asp". Lineage: Eukaryota; Metazoa; Arthropoda; Insecta; Trichoptera; Limnephilidae. The record is from RNAcentral.